Hibiscus syriacus is the source of this 324-nucleotide long non-coding RNA. RefSeq lists it as uncharacterized. NCBI's taxonomy places the organism in Eukaryota, Viridiplantae, Streptophyta, Magnoliopsida, Malvales, Malvaceae. The record is from RefSeq and is a predicted model, not a curated record. The transcript is spliced from 3 exons.
UUAAACUUCAUGGAAAGAUUCGCUUUGUUCAGGAUUAUAACCAGGAGAAAGUAAUUUCUAGGGGAUCAAAGAUGUACACCGAGGAUCUUGAAGGUGGAUUCAUCUCAGAUGUUGAAUCCAAGUGCAAGAAGAUAUAUGAGGAUGAUAUUAAUCCCUUUGCAGCUUUCUCCAAAAAGGAGAGGGAUCAAAUAUACAAGGAGUUGGGCUUCAGAGAGAGAAUCACACUAAGCAGCGGACGUUUUCUUCUAUGAAACAAGUAUAAUUUUGUUUCAUCGAUACAUCAUAUUCUUUAUUGGAAUGAUCUCUUGCUCCCUUUCUUGCAUG